GUUCUCAGUGGCCGCCCUGCGGUACCCUCUCCCAGAACCUGAGCUGCUCUGACGCGGCUGUCUGGUGCGUUUCACUGAUCCUGGUGCUGCUGCUUCCUUACACUUCCCAAGAGGAGAAGCAGUUUGGAAAAACAAAAUCAGAAUAAGUUGGUCCUGAGUUCUAACUUUGGCUCUUCACCUUUCUAGUCCCGAAUUUAUAUUGUUCCUCCGUGCGUCAGUUUUACCUGUGAGAUAAGGCCAGUAGCCAGCCCCGUCCUGGCAGGGCUGUGGUGAGGAGGGUGGUGUCCGUGUGGACAACUCCCUUUGUGAGAAUGGUGCGUCCUAGGUGUUCACCAGGUCGUGGCCGCCUCUACCCCCUUUCUCUUACUCCAUCCUUCUUUCCUUAAAGAAUCCCCAGUGCUAUCUGGGACAUAUUCCUCUGCCCAGAGCAGGGUCCCGCUUCCCUAAGGCCCUGCUCUGGGCUUCUGGGUUUGAGUCCUUGGCAAGCCCAGGAGAGGCACUCAGGCUUCCCUGUCCCCCUUCUUCGUCCACCGUCUCAUGCCCCUGGCUCUCCUGCCCCUUCCCUACAGGGGUUCCUGGCUCUGCUCUUCAGACUGAGCCCCGUUUCCCUGCAUCCCCCAGAGGCCCCAGGCCACCUACUUGGCCUGGACCCCACGAGAGGCCACCCCAGCCCUGUCCACCAGGCUGCCUUUCGGUGGAUUCUUCUCCCACUGUGGGGUGACUGCUUGGCAAACUCACUCUUCGGGGUAUCCCAGGAGGCCUGGAGGAUUGGCAUGGGCUGGGGUUCAGAGAGGAGGGAUUCCCUUCUCAGGUUACGUGGCCAGCAAACAGGGGAGCUGGGUUUGGGUCAGGUCUGAGUGUGGAGUGACCAGCUUAUGCUGUUUGCCCAGGACAACCUAGUUUUAGCACUGAAACCCUCAGUCCUAGGAAAACAGGGACGGUUGGUCACCGUCUCUGGGUGACUCUUGAUUCCCGGCCAGUUUCUCCACCUGGGGCUGUGUUUCUCGUCCUGCAUCCUUCUCCGGGCAGGUCCCCAAGCAUCACCCCCCUGCUGUGGCUGUUCCCAAGUUCUUAGGGUACCCCAUGUGGGUUUAUCAACCACUUGAUGAGGCUGGUACCCUCCCCCCAUUCCUGCUCCCCAAUUGCCUUAGUGGCUAGGGGGUUGGAGGCUAGAGUAGGAGGGGCUGGAGCCAGGAUUCUUAGAGCUGAACAGAGAAGAGCUGGGGGCCUGGGCUCCUGGGUCUGAGGGAGGAGGGGCUGGGGGCCUGGGCUCCUGGGUCUGAGGGAGGAGGGACUGGGGGCCUGGACUCCUGGGUCUGAGGGAGGAGGGACUGGGGGCCUGGACUCCUGGGUCUGAGGGAGGAGGGGCUGGGGGCCUGGACUCCUGGGUUUGAGGGAGGAGGGGCUGGGGCCUGGGCUUCUGGGUCCGAGGGAGGAGGGGCUGAGGGCCUGGACUCCUGGGUCUGAGGAGGAGGGGCUGGGGGCCUGGACUUCUGGGUCUUAGGGAGGAGGGGCUGGGCCUGGACCCUUGGGUCUGAAUGGGGAGAGGCUGGGGGCCUGGACUCCUUCAUCUGAGGGCGGAAGGGCUAGGGCCUGGCCUCCUGGGUUGAGUGGGGGAGGGGCUUGGACUGGCCUCUUGGGUUGAACGGGGAGGGGUUGGGCCUGGACUCUGGAGUCCCUGGUGCCCAGGCCUCAGGCAUCUUUCACAGGGAUGCCUGUACUGGGCAGGUCCUUGAAAGGGAAAGGCCCAUCGCUCUCCUUGCCCCCCUCCGCCAUCGCCAUGACAACUGAGUGGAAAUAAACGAGCCGAGUUCAUCCCGUUCCCAGGGCACGUGCGGCCCCUUCUCAGCCCGAGUUUCCAUGACCUCAUGCUCUUGGCCCUCGUAGCUCCCUCCCCCCUCCUCCAGAUGGGCAGCUUUGGAGAGGUGAGGGACUUGGGGGGUAAUUUAUCCCGUGGAUCUAGGAGUUGAGCUUCACUCCUCCCUCAGCUCCAGUUCAGGUCCCAGGGCCCACCCAGUGUCCACAAGGCCUGGGACAAGUCCCUUCUCCGGCCCCCUGGACUUCGGCUUUUGUCCCCCCAAGUCUUGGACCCCUAAGGGGAGAAUGAGAAACAAUGGCCCGUGUCAGCCCCUGGCUGCAGGGCCCCGUGCAGAGGGGGCCUCAGUGAACUGGAGUGUGACAGCCUGGGGCCUGGGCACACAGGUGUGCAGCUGUCUCACCCCUCUGGGAGUCCCGCCCAGGCCCCUGAGUCUGUCCCAGCACAGGGUGGCCUUCCCCCACCCUGUAUAACUCUGGGCCCACGGCUUCGUUCUUGCAGAGUGUCUGCUGGGGUGGUUUCCAGGCUUGAUCCUUGGAAGGACUUAGCUGGGUUUAAGGCAGGAGGGGCUGGGGGCCAGGACUCCUGGCUCUGAAGGAGGAGGUGCUGGAGCCUCUUGCCUAGUCUGAGCACUGGAAGUGCCACCUGUGGGUGGUGACGGGGGUUUUGCUGUGUCUAACAAGUACCAUGUGGGGUUCCCACACCUGGAUGAGAAGCCCCAUCCCUUCCCCGUUCACUUCCUGUUUGCAGGUAGCCAGGAGUCCUUUUGUGGUUUCCACUGAGCGCUGAAGGCCUGGCUGACCUGACCACUGGGCAAUCAGGCGUAUCUUAAACAGUCAGUGGCCAGAGGCUGUUGGGUCGUUUUGCCCACUGUCCUAGCACCGUGUCCCUGGAUGUGUUUUCGUGGCUGCCUCUGGAGUCCUGCCUUGCUGGGACACCGUGGCUGGGGUAGGUGCAGCUGACGGCUGUUUCCCACCCCCAGGCCUGCAUUGAUGAGAACCUGGAGGUGGUGCGCUUCUUGGUGGAGCAGGGCGCCACCGUGAACCAGGCAGACAACGAGGGCUGGACGCCCCUGCACGUGGCCGCCUCCUGUGGCUACCUGGAUAUCGCCAGGUGAGGCAAGGGAGGGCCGGGCAGGACCUGGUCGGGGUGGGGGCCUGGACCCUCAGCCCUGACCAGCUCCCACCCCCAGGUACCUCCUGAGCCACGGGGCCAACAUCGCCGCCGUCAACAGUGACGGGGACCUGCCCCUGGACCUGGCCGAGUCGGACGCCAUGGAGGGGCUGCUGAAGGCGGAGAUCGCCCGCCGAGGUGGGCUCUGGUGGGCUGUGUGUGGGGUAGGGGACACCUCCUCACCCGUGGUCUCCAGGCUGAGAGCUUUAGAGGCGGCCUGGACACCGAGGCUGACCCUGCUUCCUAGGAUUGUCUUUCUUUGUGCCUCAGUUUCCUCACCUGUGAAAUGGGGGUGUAGGGUCCUGCCUCCAGGAUUGCUUGGAGCCCAGCAGAGGCACAGGAUGAGAACUCAAACCCCUACCAACUGGGAUUGUCAUUUCACUCCCUGAGUAACUGAGGGGAUUGGAAUGCCGGGGUGGGGUGGGUAGGUGGAGGGACUCACCCAGGAGUGCAUUAGGUAGGAUUGCUGGAACCUGCUGCAGGUCUCUGUGGGAGGGGGUGCGUUUACUCGGGGGGAGUACGGGCAUGCAGGGGUUGCCAGGGACUGGUCUCCCUGUCCUCUGAGACUCAUGGUACCCCAGGAGCCUUCAUAUGGGGUCCAGGAGCCCCUGAAACUGUGUCUGGCCAGGUUCAUUUUUCUGGGGAAGGGGUGUUGCUUCUAGCAGGUGUGUGAUGGCCACACAGGAUCCCUGGGUCCCCAGCGUGGCUUCUAAAGUCCUGGGCUCGCCUCCCAGCGCUGCCUGUGACUGGCGACUCCAGGCACGUCCCUGAAGCUCGCUUCCUUGAUUUCCUAAAACAGGACCACUGGUGCCGCUUCAUGGGGUGGUUGUCAGGGUCUGGCUGGGUUGGGGUGGAAGGGUGUGAGCAUGGUUCCCGGCAGGCUCCAGGGGACCGUGUGGAAGGAAAGGGAGACUGACGAGGAAAUGAGAUACCGGCAGCCUCCGAGACUUCUGACGCGGCUGUCCUGACGGGGCCGCUGGCCAGGCUGAAAAAGGAUAGGAUUCCGCGUGGGUUCAGGGGGCCACAAGAGCCACGCAGGAGGAGCAGCUAGUGGGACACGUGGCGGCGGCGAUCUGAGGUUUGGGAGCCCCUCUUUGGUUGAAAUGGGGAGUGGGUCAAAUCAGCCCUGGACCUGGAUUCUGUCUCCUCCCUCCUCCAACUUUUUAUUUUGAGAAAGCUUCAAAUUUACAGAAAAGUUGAAGCAAUAGCAUGUGACUACCCAUAUGACUUUC
RNAcentral lists this small RNA (4221 nucleotides) under Pongo abelii (Sumatran orangutan). Its description in RNAcentral is "retained intron". The record is from RNAcentral. Lineage: Eukaryota; Metazoa; Chordata; Mammalia; Primates; Hominidae.